RNAcentral lists this transfer RNA (73 nucleotides) under Bacteroidetes bacterium RBG_13_43_22. RNAcentral's name for it is "tRNA-Pro". It matches the Rfam family "tRNA". Rfam says of the family: Transfer RNA (tRNA) molecules are approximately 80 nucleotides in length. Their secondary structure includes four short double-helical elements and three loops (D, anti-codon, and T loops). Lineage: Bacteria; Pseudomonadati; Bacteroidota. The record is from RNAcentral. RNAcentral also lists the same sequence under 6 other names.
CGGGGUGUGGCGCAGUUGGUAGCGUACUACGUUCGGGACGUAGGGGCCGGAAGUUCGAGUCUUCUCACCCCGA